GCUAUACAUGCAAGUCGAACGAACUCUGGUAUUGAUUGGUGCUUGCAUCAUGAUUUACAUUUGAGUGAGUGGCGAACUGGUGAGUAACACGUGGGAAACCUGCCCAGAAGCGGGGGAUAACACCUGGAAACAGAUGCUAAUACCGCAUAACAACUUGGACCGCAUGGUCCGAGUUUGAAAGAUGGCUUCGGCUAUCACUUUUGGAUGGUCCCGCGGCGUAUUAGCUAGAUGGUGAGGUAACGGCUCACCAUGGCAAUGAUACGUAGCCGACCUGAGAGGGUAAUCGGCCACAUUGGGACUGAGACACGGCCCAAACUCCUACGGGAGGCAGCAGUAGGGAAUCUUCCACAAUGGACGAAAGUCUGAUGGAGCAACGCCGCGUGAGUGAAGAAGGGUUUCGGCUCGUAAAACUCUGUUGUUAAAGAAGAACAUAUCUGAGAGUAACUGUUCAGGUAUUGACGGUAUUUAACCAGAAAGCCACGGCUAACUACGUGCCAGCAGCCGCGGUAAUACGUAGGUGGCAAGCGUUGUCCGGAUUUAUUGGGCGUAAAGCGAGCGCAGGCGGUUUUUUAAGUCUGAUGUGAAAGCCUUCGGCUCAACCGAAGAAGUGCAUCGGAAACUGGGAAACUUGAGUGCAGAAGAGGACAGUGGAACUCCAUGUGUAGCGGUGAAAUGCGUAGAUAUAUGGAAGAACACCAGUGGCGAAGGCGGCUGUCUGGUCUGUAACUGACGCUGAGGCUCGAAAGUAUGGGUAGCAAACAGGAUUAGAUACCCUGGUAGUCCAUACCGUAAACGAUGAAUGCUAAGUGUUGGAGGGUUUCCGCCCUUCAGUGCUGCAGCUAACGCAUUAAGCAUUCCGCCUGGGGAGUACGGCCGCAAGGCUGAAACUCAAAGGAAUUGACGGGGGCCCGCACAAGCGGUGGAGCAUGUGGUUUAAUUCGAAGCUACGCGAAGAACCUUACCAGGUCUUGACAUACUAUGCAAAUCUAAGAGAUUAGACGUUCCCUUCGGGGACAUGGAUACAGGUGGUGCAUGGUUGUCGUCAGCUCGUGUCGUGAGAUGUUGGGUUAAGUCCCGCAACGAGCGCAACCCUUAUUAUCAGUUGCCAGCAUUAAGUUGGGCACUCUGGUGAGACUGCCGGUGACAAACCGGAGGAAGGUGGGGAUGACGUCAAAUCAUCAUGCCCCUUAUGACCUGGGCUACACACGUGCUACAAUGGAUGGUACAACGAGUUGCGAACUCGCGAGAGUAAGCUAAUCUCUUAAAGCCAUUCUCAGUUCGGAUUGUAGGCUGCAACUCGCCUACAUGAAGUCGGAAUCGCUAGUAAUCGCGGAUCAGCAUGCCGCGGUGAAUACGUUCCCGGGCCUUGUACACACCGCCCGUCACACCAUGAGAGUUUGUAACACCCAAAGUCGGUGGGGUAACCUUUUAGGAACCAGCCGCCUAAGGUGACAGAGAU
RNAcentral lists this ribosomal RNA (1459 nucleotides) under Lactiplantibacillus plantarum. RNAcentral describes it as "bacterial SSU rRNA". It matches the Rfam family "Bacterial small subunit ribosomal RNA". The record is from RNAcentral. Lineage: Bacteria; Bacillati; Bacillota; Bacilli; Lactobacillales; Lactobacillaceae.